ACUACGAUAGUGACUAUGCCCACGGCUUUUGAUAGCUGGGGCCAAGGUAUCCGGGUCACUGUCUCCCAAGAGACCUCAUCCCGUCCAAAUCUCUUCCCCCUCAUCACCUGUGAGAGCUCCCUGUCCGAUGAGCCCCUGGUGGCCAUGGGCUGCCUGGCCCGGGACUUCCUGCCCAGCUCCGUCACCUUCUCCUGGAACUACAAGAACAACAGUGUGGUCAACAACCAGGACAUCCAGACCUUCCCUCCAGUCCUGAGAGAGGGCAAGUACGUGGCUACCUCUCAGGUGCUCCUGCCCUCCGUGGACGUCCUCCAGGGUUCAGAUGACUUCCUCACAUGCAAUGUGAAACACCCCAAGGGCAACAGUGAGGUGAACGUGCCCAUCCCAGUGCCUGUAGAGCUGUCCCCCAACGUGACUGUCUUCAUCCCACCCCGUGACGCCUUCUCUGACAACAACCAGCGCACGUCCCAGCUCCUCUGUCAGGCAACAGGCUUCAGCCCCAAGAAGAUCUCUGUGUCCUGGCUUCGUGAUGGAAAGCCCAUCAAGUCGGGCUUCAACCCAGGCAACGUGGAGGCUGAGAACCAAAGGCCCGGGCCCGUGACCUUCAGGGUGCUCAGCACGCUGACCAUCACCGAGAAUGCCUGGCUCAGCCAGAGCGUGUUCACUUGCAAUGUGGAGCACAAUGGGCUGACCUUCAAGAAGAACGUGUCCUCUGCAUGCAUCCUCAACACGCAGGCCAACAUCAGAAUCUUCACCAUUCCCCCCACCUUCGCCAGCAUCUUCCAAACCAAGUCGGCCAAGCUGUCCUGCAGGGUCGUAGACCUGACCACCCGCGACAGCCUGAACAUCUCCUGGACCCGCCAGAAUGGCGACUUUCUGCCAACCACCACCAUCUUCCAGAGCAACCUCAACAACACCUUCAGUGCCACGGGGGAGGCCACCGUCUGUGCAGAGGACUGGGAGUCAGGGGAGGACUUCACCUGCACGGUGACCCACACAGAUCUGCCCUCGCCACUGAAGAAGACCAUCUCUAAACCCAAGGACGUCAACAAGCAACCGCCCUCCGUCUACGUCCUGCCACCCAGCCGGGAGCAGCUGAGCCUGCGGGAGUCAGCCACAGUCACUUGCCUGGUGAAGGGCUUCUCACCCGCAGAUGUGUUCGUGCAAUGGCUGCAGAAAGGCCAACCCAUGUCCUCCGAGAGUUACGUGACCAGUGACCCGAAGCCCGAGCCCCAGGACCCCCACCUCUACUUUGUCCACAGCACCCUGACUGUGAGUGAGGAGGAGUGGAGCUCGGGGGAGACCUACACCUGUGUUGUGGGCCACGAGGCCCUGCCCCACAUGGUGACGGAGAGGAGCGUGGACAAGUCCACCGGUAAACCCACCCUGUACAACGUGUCCCUGGUCUUGUCUGACACGGCCACCACCUGCUACUGACCUGUGGGCCGCCCCACUCCGGGUGGAUCCCAGAGUCCCUGGGGAACCCGUCGCUGUGUGUGCAUGUGUGCAAACUAACCGUGUCAAUGGGGUGAGAUGUGGCGUUUUAUCAAAAUUAGAAAUAAAAACAUCCAUUCAAAAGA
Non-coding RNA from Prionailurus viverrinus (fishing cat), 1580 nucleotides. The record is from the annotation of a RefSeq genome assembly. Lineage: Eukaryota; Metazoa; Chordata; Mammalia; Carnivora; Felidae.